Molecule: long non-coding RNA, 619 nt
Organism: Chenopodium quinoa (quinoa)
Lineage: Eukaryota; Viridiplantae; Streptophyta; Magnoliopsida; Caryophyllales; Amaranthaceae
Exons: 2
Source: RefSeq, a predicted model, not a curated record
ACAUUAAAGACAGGUCUAUUGUUUUCACGCUUCCACGUACACCACUCUCUUUUUAACUUCUCUCUCCUCUUGACUCUUACCCGGCUACUCACAUACCCCUGCUCAUUUCCCUUCUCUCUUUCGGUCUCCUCCUUCAAACCCUAACCAUUUCCUUCAAGCCAAAUAGCAACGAUUCAAAUCAAGCAACCAUAAACAAAGAAAAGGAAAGAGGAAUGGCAAAAGAAAGAGAACAAAAUUAUGGAAAUUAAGCUCUUUGAUUUCUCAAACGCUAGAUCAAUGAGAAGUUUUCCUACUUUUUCAAUUUAAUUAUUUUUUAGAUGUGGCGCAAAAAUAGAUUCGACGAGUUGAUUGGAUGAUACUUUAUUUACCCGGAUUUGACAAGUUCAAGCAAUCGUUUGCAAUUUUAGAGGUCUAUAGCUUCUGGGUUUCUCCACAAAGUCCGAAAAUGGUGGGAUUUAAUGAUAUAGAAAUUGAGAUCUCUGUAUAUCAAGAUUCAAAUUAUGUAAUGAAUUGAAAUAAAUUUUUUUUCUUUACUUUUUUUUCGUAUUUGUACAGAAUUAAGUAUUAGUGUGGAUAUUUUUAUAUGAAUUUUGUACAUAUUAUGGUAUCUUAAUGUUUA